AUGUCCUCAUGCUCCACUUCUCAACAGUUCAAGGAAAGUAACUCAGCCAUGACACCUCCAAGCCAUCUAGGACAUUCCCUAUACAUCUGCCCACAGGAGCAACCACAUGAGUCAAGGAAGUCACAUGUUGGCCAUGUACCAAGACCAACCAAGCAUUUUCAACGUGCCCGCUCCCACUGGCACCAGGCACCACACAGGCCUGGGGAUGCAAAGGUCCAUCAGUCCCCAAGGGGUCCCCCCAAGGUCCUCUUCCAGCACCUUCAGCCUGUCUCCUACAGCCUCAGCCAUGCCUGCAAAGACCCCAGCAACUUCAUCCCGUGCAGAAUGGGGCCACUGUGAGACCAAGGACUUACAUGCUCAAGGAACCAAGGAGUGUUUUCAGCCUGACUGAUGGAAGACCAAGAGAAGAAGAAUAUCACAUACAUGAGUUUUCCAAAAUUAAAAUGGAGAAUAGGGCCUUUGGGAAGGCUGUCUGGAUAAUUAAAGCAUUAAUUCAGCCUCUGGUUUGCCUGAGAGCAACAGGCUUCUGAGAGCUCCAUUAAAUCUCUCCCAAUAAAUACUGAUGGCUCUGAGGCGGUCUUCCGGCC
RNAcentral lists this long non-coding RNA (587 nucleotides) under Felis catus (domestic cat). RNAcentral describes it as "lncRNA (ENSFCAG00000040759.2)". The record is from RNAcentral. Lineage: Eukaryota; Metazoa; Chordata; Mammalia; Carnivora; Felidae.